AUUCGAGCGCAGCGAGAAAGCGUUGCCGCAGGCAACGACCCGAAGGGUGAGGAGCGGAGCGACGAAUAAUCCUUCCCUCACCACCA
Molecule: small RNA, 86 nt
Filed under: Salmonella enterica
Lineage: Bacteria; Pseudomonadati; Pseudomonadota; Gammaproteobacteria; Enterobacterales; Enterobacteriaceae
Description: partial RtT sRNA
Rfam family: RtT RNA
About the family: This family represents a bacterial cis-regulatory element known as RtT RNA. The exact function of RtT is unknown although it is thought that it may be involved in changing the cellular response in relation to amino acid starvation.
Source: RNAcentral